Long non-coding RNA from Entelurus aequoreus (snake pipefish), 326 nucleotides. RefSeq lists it as uncharacterized. Lineage: Eukaryota; Metazoa; Chordata; Actinopteri; Syngnathiformes; Syngnathidae. The transcript has 3 exons. The record is from RefSeq and is a predicted model, not a curated record.
CAAUGUGACUUGCAGGCUCCAUACUUGAGUUUAAGGUCUCUGGUGAGCUCAUUCUGGGUUUGUUCCAGCUCCUGGCGCUCAUUGAUGUGCGCUUCCUGGAUGUCGUGGAUUUCCGCCUUCACUGCCUGCAGUUUGGCAAACAACUGGGGAGAAAAGGAAGACGCACAUACCAGGAUUGGCAACCAUAAAGUUACCGGUGAGGAGAGCAGUGGGCAGCAGCAGUGGCCACGACUGGGAAUCAUUUUUGGUGAUUCAAUCCCCAAUUCCAACCCUGAGUGCCAAGCAGGGAGGUAAUGGGUCCCAUUUUUAUAGUCUUCGGUAUGACU